Molecule: ribosomal RNA, 1399 nt
Filed under: metagenome
Description: bacterial SSU rRNA
Rfam family: Archaeal small subunit ribosomal RNA
Source: RNAcentral
GUUUAUCCUGCUGGAGGUUGCUGCUAUUUGGUUUGAACUUAGGCAUGCAAGUCUGACGCAAGUCGCGAACUGCUCAGUAACACGUAGUUAAUCUGCCCUUAGGUCAAGGAUACCCUCGGGAAACUGAGGCUAAUACUUGAUAGGGGUAAUGUGCUGGAAUGCACUUACCCUGAAACUCGAGCCUAAGGAUGAGACUGCGGCUGAUUAGCUUGUUGGUGGGGUAACUGCCUACCAAGGCGAUGAUCAGUAAGGGCCCUUAGCGGGGUAGCCCUGAGAAGGAAUCUGAGACACUAUUCCUAGCCCUACGGGGUGCAGCAGCUAUGAAUCUUUUACAAUGCACGAAAGUGUGAUAGAGCGAACCAAAGUGCUUGCAUUUUUUGUAAGCAUUUGUCUACUGUAAAUAUGUAGAUGAAUAAGGACUGGGAAAGACUGGUGCCAGCCGCCGCGGUAAUACCAGCAGUUCUAGUUGCAACCAACAUUAUUGGGUCUAAAACAUCCGUAGCUUGCCAAACAAGUUUCUUGUGAAAUCUGACAUCUCAAAUGUCAGGCGUGCAAGAAAUACUGUUUGGCUAGAGACCGGUAGGUGUAAGAAGUACGCAGAAGGUAGUGGUAAAAUACGUUAAUCUUCUGCGGACUAACAAUUAGCGAAGGCAUCUUACAAGAACGGAUCUGACAGUGAGGGAUGAAGGCCAGGGGCGCAAAACGGAUUAGAUACCCGUGUAGUCCUGGCAGUAAACACUGCUCACUAAACAUCGGGCCCUCUUCGGGAGGAUUCGGUGCUGAAGCGAAGGCGUAGAGUGAGCUACCUGGGAAGUAUAGUCGCAAGGUCGAAACUUAAAGGAAUUGGCGGGGAGACACUACAACGAGUGACGCGUGCGGUUUAAUUAGAUUUUACACCGUGAACCUCACUAGGAGCGACAGCAGGAUGAAGGUCAGUCUAAAGGGCUUACCUGACACGCUGAGCGGAGCUGCAUGGCCGACGUCAGCCUGUGCUGUGAAGUGACCUGUUAAAUCAGGUAACAGGCGAGACCCGUGUCUAUAAUUACUACAGAAAUGGGAACAUUAUGGAGACUGCCUUGGUAACAAGGAGGAAGGUGCGGGCUACGUUAGGUGAGUACAGCCCUAAUCCCCUAGGCUACACGCGCGCGGCAAUGGUAGAUUCAAUGAGAUGCGACACCGAAAGGUGAAGCUAAUCCCCUAAUAUCUAUCUCAGUCCAGAUUGAGGCUUGCAACCCAGCCUCAUGACGUUGGAAUUCGUAGUAAUCGUUUAUUAGCAGUGAACGGUGAAUAUGUCCCUGUCUCUUGCACACACCGCCCGUCAAACCAACCGAGUUCUGUAGGGUUGAAGUUCGUAUGAAAAGAAACUUUGCAAGACAAGGUAGGUUAAGUCGGCACAAGG